This 742-nucleotide ribosomal RNA is filed under the name Firmicutes bacterium enrichment culture clone 16695 ECW 20. RNAcentral's name for it is "bacterial SSU rRNA". It matches the Rfam family "Bacterial small subunit ribosomal RNA", at positions 787 to 1533 of the family's 1533-position model. Lineage: Bacteria; Bacillati; Bacillota. The record is from RNAcentral.
CCGGUAGUCCUGGCCGUAAACGAUGGGUACUAGGUGUAGGAGGUAUCGACCCCUUCUGUGCCGCAGUUAACGCAAUAAGUACCCCGCCUGGGGAGUACGACCGCAAGGUUGAAACUCAAAGGAAUUGACGGGGGCCCGCACAAGCGGUGGAGUAUGUGGUUUAAUUCGACGCAACGCGAAGAACCUUACCAGGUCUUGACAUUGAUGGACAGAACUAGAGAUAGUUCCUCUUCUUCGGAAGCCAGAAAACAGGUGGUGCACGGUUGUCGUCAGCUCGUGUCGUGAGAUGUUGGGUUAAGUCCCGCAACGAGCGCAACCCCUAUCUUAUGUUGCCAGCACGUAAUGGUGGGAACUCAUGAGAGACUGCCGCAGACAAUGCGGAGGAUGGCGGGGAUGACGUCAAAUCAUCAUGCCCCUUAUGACCUGGCUACACACGUACUACAAUGGGCUUUAAUAAAGGGAAGCGAAGUCGCGAGGCGGAGCAAACCCCAGAAACAAGCUCUCAGUUCGGAUCGUAGGCUGCAACUCGCCUACGUGAAGUCGGAAUCGCUAGUAAUCGCAGGUCAGCAUACUGCGGUGAAUACGUUCCCGGGCCUUGUACACACCGCCCGUCACACCACGAAAGUCGGAAGUGCCCAAAGCCGGUGGGGUAACCUUCGGGAGCCAGCCGUCUAAGGUAAAGUCGAUGAUUGGGGUGAAGGCGUAACAAGGUAGAGCUCUCAGUCAGUCAAAUCGAAUUCCC